AGGUCCUUCCCUCCUAGUCCCCAGAAGGAACUAACCCUGAUCUUGGACUUCUAGCCUCCAGAAUUGUGAGAAAAUAAGUGUCUGCUGUUUGAAAUGAGUCUGUGGCACUUUGUUAUGGCAGCCCGAGCAAAAUAAUACACGAGCCCUCAGAGAGAGCCUGACUGAGAAGGAAGAUAACAGAGGAAAACAGAGGUGAGAAGUGGAAAAAGACAGAGCCCUGCAUGUAGUUGUUCCUUAGGAUCUACCCAAGACCUUUCAGGAACCUGAACUAGGACCCUGCAGCAAACCCCACUUUGACUGUGCAGAUGAGGAUGACACCCUGGGACAGCAGAGAACAACAGGGAAGGGACGUAGCAUGCUGCCGACCUUGCACUGCAGAGCGCUGCCUUCCUUCUCAGUCUGGCUGGCUCACUGUUACCUGAAGGAGAAGAAAUCACCACUGAAGGAACUAACUGAAAGCGAGGAAAACAAGGUCUGCUGAGCCAGCAUGCUGUCCUUCCUUUGAAUGGUUCUGCAAAACCAUGGUGCUGAACUGUGACAAGAAAGGCCCUUUGUCCCUGAUUUCCUGAUGCUCGAGUCAGCACGUCAUUUCUGAGAACCAGUGUGGGCCCCAGCACUGGGUUGGACCUACCUAUGGAGAGCACAAUACAAGGAACCUGCUUCCCUCAAGUGAACCUUCUUCUCAAGGGACAACACUUAACCUUCCAGAAUACAGAAAGCAAAAGGAUCCCUCUGAAGGCAUGCUGUCUCCCAGGUCUCAGUCACGAAAAUGCGUUCGUGCGGGAGAGACCACAGGUCAUGCGGCAGUGUGGUGGAAGGAGGGGAGAAGUCCCUGGGGCUGCAGCAGCCCAGGUUGCUUUCUUGGAAGAGUUGGCACCGAGCUGUGUCUGGAACAACGAGUUGGGCUUGACUGUGUGGAGAAGAACCAGAGAAACUUUGCUUGGUUGGGGAGGGAGGAGGCGGGUUGAUGGCAAGAACUUUUAAGUACCUAACUGCCAGGGAGCCAAAGCCUUGGGGAAGCCCACUUUAAACUGUACUCAACUUCAAAAUUAAUAUCUAUUCCCAUGAAUUCCAAUUUCCUAUUCUGUGAAUCCCCUAACAAGGUAUUCCACCUGCAGCCUAAAAAAUUCAGAGGGAACAUUGAUCCUAAUACCAAAAAGUGGAUUUCCUACUGCAUAAAUACAUGAAGCUGGACUAUGGUAGAAAUUCUCCUUAAGAACAGAAAGUGACCAGGGGUGCCUGGCUGGCUCAGUCGAAGAGCAUGUGAUUCUUGGUCUCAGGGUCAUGAGUUUGAGCCCC
Long non-coding RNA from Zalophus californianus (California sea lion), 1299 nucleotides. RefSeq lists it as uncharacterized. The transcript is spliced from 3 exons. The record is from RefSeq and is a predicted model, not a curated record. Lineage: Eukaryota; Metazoa; Chordata; Mammalia; Carnivora; Otariidae.